GAUGAACGCUGGCGGCGUGCCUAAUACAUGCAAGUCGAGCGAACAGACGAGGAGCUUGCUCCUCUGACGUUAGCGGCGGACGGGUGGGUAACACGUGGAUAACCUACCUAUAAGACUGGGAUAACUUCGGGAAACCGGAGCUAAUACCGGAUAAUAUAUUGAACCGCAUGGUUCAAUAGUGAAAGACGGUUUUGCUGUCACUUAUAGAUGGAUCCGCGCCGCAUUAGCUAGUUGGUAAGGUAACGGCUUACCAAGGCAACGAUGCGUAGCCGACCUGAGAGGGGGAUCGGCAAAACGGGAACUGGGACACGGUCCAGCCUCCUACGGGAGGCAGCAGUAGGAAAUCUUCCGCAAUGGGCGAAAGCCUGAGGGAGAAACGCCGCGUGAGUGAUGAAGGCCUUCGGAUCGUAAAACUCUGUUAUUAGGGAAGAAAAAAGGUGUAAGUACCUAGGCACGCUUUGACGGUACCUAAUCAGAAAGCCACGGCUAACUACGU
RNAcentral lists this ribosomal RNA (496 nucleotides) under uncultured bacterium. RNAcentral's name for it is "partial 16S ribosomal RNA". It matches the Rfam family "Bacterial small subunit ribosomal RNA", at positions 28 to 506 of the family's 1533-position model. The record is from RNAcentral.